GAGAAGGAGCCGGGCCCUACUGCAGGGGAGGAGAGAAAGCUCCCCUGCACCUCAAUGGGGCUUUGUGCUCCUUGGCACUGGAUCUGCCAAGACAGGGCACCUCUCCUGGAGCCCGCUCUUGGGGGCGUCUCCCCUGCCUGUGCAUCUGGGGGCUUCAUUCUGGCCAUAGGAGGCAGAGAAGUGGGGCCUGUGCAGUGGGUGUCAGGGAUGGACAGGGACUCUUACCUGGGCCCAUCUAGCUCCCUUGCCUGGCUCUCUCUGCUCAUUUGCAGAGCCAUCCCCCAUGCUGGGAUGUUUGGGGUGCAGCAGGAAUUGCCAGUUUCUGCAGCUCUCCUCUCCCCUGGCUCAGAAAACUUGACGUCAUGCUUGCCUGGAAACCUACCUUCCAGUCCUGCCCAUCCUGAGACCUGUGAGAUGGAAGAGGUUCUAGGCCCACCUCAGGGUCUCAGCAGGCAAUCUUACCAACUUCUACAGUUUCAACAAUGGUGACUUCCUUGAGCAUCCUCAGAUAAUUCAGAUCCCACCUAAAUUACAGAGCCCUAUGUCCAGCUGCCUACCUGGAUGUCUCAAAAUCACCUCCAACUCAACGGAUUCAAAAACAAACUCACUUUCUUCCCAACCCUUCUCAACAAAUAGUCCACUAUCUGUCUACUUUCCAAAUAAAAUGUAAGCAGCCUCCGUGGCUCAUCCCUCUCCUUCAUUAUAUUAAACCCAAUAAUAACAAUUUUACCUAACUGCUCUUUUAAUUCUUCUAUCUAUUUCUCUCAUCAUCUCAUCUUUUUUCCUUUUUUUUUUUUUUUUUUUUUUGAGACAGGAUCUCGUUCUGUUGCCCAGGCUGGAGUGCAGUGGCACAAUCACAGCCUCGACCUCGUGGGCUCAGGCAAUCUUCCCACCUCAGCCUCCUGAGUAGCUGGGACUACAGGCACCUGCCACCACACCCAGCUAAUUUUUAUUUAUUUAAUUAGUUUUGUAGAGAUGGAGUUUCACUAUGUUGCCCAGGCUGGCAUCUCACCUUAAUCCAAGCUAUCACUUAUUACACAGAGUAUUGAUAUCACCUCCCAACCCACCUUCCCCACAUGCUCUUUUACCACCAAUAAUAAAAUAGCCACAGUGCAGCCAGAACAAGUCUUUUGAAAUAUAAAUAUGAUCAUGUCACAUGAAGUGGGGAUCAUACACUCCACUUCAGCCCAAACUCUGUAAUAGGACCUGUCGGAUCCUACAUGGCCUAUACCUCA
RNAcentral lists this long non-coding RNA (1235 nucleotides) under Macaca fascicularis (crab-eating macaque). Its description in RNAcentral is "lncRNA (ENSMFAG00000047446.1)". Lineage: Eukaryota; Metazoa; Chordata; Mammalia; Primates; Cercopithecidae. The record is from RNAcentral.